GACGAACGCUGGCGGCGUGCUUAACACAUGCAAGUCGAACGGAAAGGCCCUGCUUUUGUGGGGUGCUCGAGUGGCGAACGGGUGAGUAACACGUGAGUAACCUGCCCUUGACUUUGGGAUAACUUCAGGAAACUGGGGCUAAUACCGGAUAGGAGCUCCUGCUGCAUGGUGGGGGUUGGAAAGUUUCGGCGGUCGGGGAUGGACUCGCGGCUUAUCAGCUUGUUGGUGGGGUAGUGGCUUACCAAGGCUUUGACGGGUAGCCGGCCUGGGAGGGUGACCGGCCACAUUGGGACUGCGAGACGGACCAGACUCCUACGGGAGGCAGCAGUGGGGAAUAUUGCACAAUGGGCGGAAGCCUGAUGCAGCAACGCCGCGUGCGGGAUGACGGCCUUCGGGUUGUAAACCGCUUUCGCCUGUGACGAAGCGUGAGUGACGGUAAUGGGUAAAGAAGCACCGGCUAACUACGUG
Molecule: ribosomal RNA, 468 nt
Filed under: uncultured bacterium
Lineage: Bacteria
Description: partial 16S ribosomal RNA
Rfam family: Bacterial small subunit ribosomal RNA
Source: RNAcentral